UACGGGGGGGGCAAGCGUUGUUCGGAAUCAUUGGGCGUAAAGCGCGCGUAGGCGGCCCGGUAAGUCCGUUGUAAAAGUCAAAGGCUCAACCUUUGAAAGCCGAUGGAUACUGCCGGGCUAGAGUACGGAAGAGGCGAGUAGAAUUCCUGGUGUAGCGGUGGAAUGCGCAGAUAUCAGGAGGAAUACCCAUAGCGAAGGCAGCUCGCUGGGACGUUACUGACGCUGAGGCGCGAAAGCGUGGGGAGCGAACAGG
RNAcentral lists this ribosomal RNA (253 nucleotides) under uncultured bacterium. RNAcentral describes it as "partial 16S ribosomal RNA". It matches the Rfam family "Bacterial small subunit ribosomal RNA", at positions 524 to 776 of the family's 1533-position model. The record is from RNAcentral.